This 30-nucleotide non-coding RNA is filed under the name Homo sapiens (human). The record is from RNAcentral. Lineage: Eukaryota; Metazoa; Chordata; Mammalia; Primates; Hominidae.
UGCUGAUUGGUGUGUUUACAAACCUCGAGC